Molecule: ribosomal RNA, 492 nt
Filed under: uncultured bacterium
Lineage: Bacteria
Description: partial 16S ribosomal RNA
Rfam family: Bacterial small subunit ribosomal RNA
Source: RNAcentral
AGUGAACGCUGGCGGUAGGCCUAACACAUGCAAGUCGAACGGCAGCACCGUAAGAGCUUGCUCUUACGGGUGGCGAGUGGCGGACGGGUGAGGAAUACAUCGGAAUCUACUUUUUCGUGGGGGAUAACGUAGGGAAACUUACGCUAAUACCGCAUACGACCUACGGGUGAAAGCAGGGGAUCUUCGGACCUUGCGCGAUUGAAUGAGCCGAUGUCGGCUUAGCUAGUUGGCGGGGUAAAUGCCCACCAAGGCGACGAUCCGUAGCAGGGUUGAGAGGCUGAGCCGCCACACUGGAACUGAGACACGGUCCAGACUCCUACGGGAGGCAGAAGUGGGGAAUAUUGGACAAUGGGCGCAAGCCUGAUCCAGCCAUACCGCGUGGGUGAAGAAGGCCUUCGGGUUGUAAAGCCCUUUUGUUGGGAAAGAAAAGCAGCAUGUUAAUACCCCGCUGUUCUGACGGUACCCAAAGAAUAAGCACCGGCUAACUUCGUG